RNAcentral lists this ribosomal RNA (424 nucleotides) under uncultured bacterium. Its description in RNAcentral is "bacterial SSU rRNA". It matches the Rfam family "Bacterial small subunit ribosomal RNA", at positions 917 to 1344 of the family's 1533-position model. The record is from RNAcentral.
GGGCCCACACAAGCGGUGGAGCAUGUGGUUUAAUUCGAUGAUACGCGAGGAACCUUACCAGGGCUUAAAUGUAGUGGGACAGGUCUAGAGAUAGACCCUUCUUCGGACUCAUUACAAGGUGCUGCAUGGUUGUCGUCAGCUCGUGCCGUGAGGUGUCAGGUUAAGUCCUAUAACGAGCGCAACCCCUAUCGUUAGUUGCCAGCGGGUAAUGCCGGGAACUCUAAGGAGACUGCCGAUGACAAAUCGGAGGAAGGUGGGGAUGACGUCAAAUCAUCACGGCCCUUACGUCCUGGGCUACACACGUGCUACAAUGGCCGGUACAGAGAGCAGCCACUACGCGAGUAGGAGCGAAUCUAUAAAACCGGUCUCAGUUCGGAUCGCAGUCUGCAACUCGACUGCGUGAAGCUGGAAUCGCUAGUAAUCG